RNAcentral lists this ribosomal RNA (1080 nucleotides) under Triticum aestivum (bread wheat). RNAcentral describes it as "partial small subunit ribosomal RNA". The record is from RNAcentral. Lineage: Eukaryota; Viridiplantae; Streptophyta; Magnoliopsida; Poales; Poaceae.
AUGUCACCCAUUCAAAGCAAGAAUGGCUCUCAGGAUUUGCUCCAGGCUCAAGUUGACCUUUGGCACCAUGCAUUGGGAUUUGUCAAGUCCAUGGCACUAAAAUGUGCAAUGGAACUGCAAAUCCCUAACACCAUCCAACACCAUGGUGGGGCUAUGACACCUUCUGAGUUGGCCGCAAAGAUCGGGCUCCAUCCAUCUAAGCUUCCCCGCUUACGACGGCUCAUGCGGGUGCUCACCGUAUCAGGCAUCUUUGCUGUCCAUGAAUCCACCACGGCAGACAAGGAGGCUGUUUAUGUGCUUACCCCAACCACUUGCCUCCUCGUUAGCGAUGAAGUUAAAUCGAAUUUAUUUCCCAUUCUGUCUUUGAUGCUUGAUUCAACUGUCCUUGCCCCCUUUUUUGGCAUGAACUCAUGGUUCCUAGAUGAGCACUCUACAUCCUUGUUCAAAAAGGCUCAUGGCCUUACCUUCUGGGAGAUGGCUGACAAGAAUGAUUCUUACAACCAGUCAAUCAACAAUGCAAUGGUUUCUGAUAGUAACUUUCUCAUGGAUAUCAUCUUGAGGGAGUGUGGUGAUGUAUUUCUUGGUAUAAACUCGCUUAUUGAUGUCGCUGGGGGCCAUGGUGGAGCUGCCAGUGCAAUUGCGAAGGCAUUCCCGCAAAUGAAAUGCACAGUGUUGGAUCUCCCUCACGUGGUUGAAGAAGCUCCUACUGAUGACCAUGUGUCAUUUAUUUCUGGCGAUAUGUUCAAGUACAUUCCACCAGCGGAUGCUCUUUUCCUGAAGUGGGUUUUUCAUGAUUGGGGCGACGAAGAUUGUGUCAAGAUACUAAAAAAAUGCAAGGAAGCUAUCCCUCCCAGAGAGGCCGGUGGGAAGGUGAUAAUCGUAGAUAUGGUGGUUGGAUCUGGGCCAAAUGAAAUUGUUACAAGAGAGACACAGGUUUUCUUUGAUCUGUUUAUCAUGUUUCUCGAGGGGAUCGAGCGAGAGGAGUUCGAGUGGAAAAAUGUAUUCAUGCAAGCCGGGUUCAGCGAGUACAAAAUUAUAUCGGUGCUGGGGGUUAGAUCUGUUAUUGAGCUCUACCCCUGA